RNAcentral lists this ribosomal RNA (120 nucleotides) under uncultured bacterium. RNAcentral describes it as "partial 16S ribosomal RNA". It matches the Rfam family "Bacterial small subunit ribosomal RNA", at positions 32 to 147 of the family's 1533-position model. The record is from RNAcentral.
AAUCAACGCUGGCGGCGUGCCUAACACAUGCAAGUCGAACGCGAAAGGGGAGCAAUCCCUGAGUAGAGUGGCGAACGGGUGAGUAACACGUGGGUGACCUACCCUCGAGUGGGGGAUAAC